RNAcentral lists this ribosomal RNA (853 nucleotides) under uncultured Bacteroidota bacterium. Its description in RNAcentral is "bacterial SSU rRNA". It matches the Rfam family "Bacterial small subunit ribosomal RNA", at positions 23 to 868 of the family's 1533-position model. The record is from RNAcentral. Lineage: Bacteria; Pseudomonadati; Bacteroidota.
CUCAGGAUGAACGCUAGCUACAGGCUUAACACAUGCAAGUCGAGGGGCAGCGGGAUUGAAGCUUGCUUCAAUUGCCGGCGACCGGCGCACGGGUGAGUAACGCGUAUCCAACCUUCCGUACACUCAGGGAUAGCCUUUCGAAAGAAAGAUUAAUACCUGAUGGUAUGAUGAGAUUGCAUGAUAGCGUCAUUAAAGAUUUAUCGGUGUACGAUGGGGAUGCGUUCCAUUAGGUAGUAGGCGGGGUAACGGCCCACCUAGCCAACGAUGGAUAGGGGUUCUGAGAGGAAGGUCCCCCACAUUGGAACUGAGACACGGUCCAAACUCCUACGGGAGGCAGCAGUGAGGAAUAUUGGUCAAUGGACGAGAGUCUGAACCAGCCAAGUAGCGUGAAGGAUGAAGGUCCUACGGAUUGUAAACUUCUUUUAUAAGGGAAUAAACCCUCCCACGUGUGGGAGCUUGUAUGUACCUUAUGAAUAAGCAUCGGCUAACUCCGUGCCAGCAGCCGCGGUAAUACGGAGGAUGCGAGCGUUAUCCGGAUUUAUUGGGUUUAAAGGGAGCGCAGACGGGUCGUUAGGUCAGCUGUGAAAGUUUGGGGCUCAACCUUAAAAUUGCAGUUGAUACUGGCGUCCUUGAGUGCGGUUGAGGUGUGCGGAAUUCGUGGUGUAGCGGUGAAAUGCUUAGAUAUCACGAAGAACUCCGAUUGCGAAGGCAGCACACUAAUCCGUAACUGACGUUCAUGCUCGAAAGUGUGGGUAUCAAACAGGAUUAGAUACCCUGGUAGUCCACACGGUAAACGAUGGAUACUCGCUGUUGGCGAUAUACUGUCAGCGGCUUAGCGAAAGCGUUAAGUAUC